RNAcentral lists this ribosomal RNA (492 nucleotides) under uncultured bacterium. RNAcentral describes it as "partial 16S ribosomal RNA". It matches the Rfam family "Bacterial small subunit ribosomal RNA", at positions 29 to 507 of the family's 1533-position model. The record is from RNAcentral.
AGUGAACGCUGGCGGUAGGCCUAACACAUGCAAGUCGAACGGCAGCACAGUAAGAGCUUGCUCUUACGGGUGGCGAGUGGCGGACGGGUGAGGAAUACAUCGGAAUCUACUUUUUCGUGGGGGAUAACGUAGGGAAACUUACGCUAAUACCGCAUACGACCUACGGGUGGAAGCAGGGGAUCUUCGGACCUUGCGCGAUUGAAUGAGCCGAUGUCGGAUUAGCUAGUUGGCGGGGUAAAGGCCCACCAAGGCGACGAUCCGUAGCUGGUCUGAGAGGAUGAUCAACCACACUGGAACUGAGACACGGUCCAGACUCCUACGGGAGGCAGCAGUGGGGAAUAUUGGACAAUGGGCGCAAGCCUGAUCCAGCCAUACCGCGUGGGUGAAGAAGGCCUUCGGGUUGUAAAGCCCUUUUGUUGGGAAAGAAAAGCAGCAGGUUAAUACCCCGCUGUUCUGACGGUACCCAAAGAAUAAGCACCGGCUAACUUCGUG